UAACACAUGCAAGUCGAACGCAGUAGCAAUACUGAGUGGCAAACGGGUGAGUAUAAUGUGGGAAUCUGCCUUUUGGUUUGGAAUAACACGGGGAAACUUGUGCUAAUACCGGAUAAGCCCUUACGGGGAAAGUUUUAACGCCGAAAGAUGAGCCUGCACUUGAUUAGCUAGUUGGUAAGGUAAAAGCUUACCAAGGCAAUGAUCAAUAGCUGUUCUUAGAGGAAGACCAGCCACAUUGGGACUGAGACACGGCCCAGACUCCUACGGGAGGCAGCAGUGGGGAAUCUUGCACAAUGGGGGAAACCCUGAUGCAGCGAUGCCGCGUGAGUGAAGAAGGCCCUUGGGUUGUAAAACUCUUUCGUCGGGGAAGAAAAUGACUGUACCCGAAUAAGAAGGUCCGGC
This 402-nucleotide ribosomal RNA is filed under the name uncultured bacterium. RNAcentral describes it as "bacterial SSU rRNA". It matches the Rfam family "Bacterial small subunit ribosomal RNA", at positions 49 to 497 of the family's 1533-position model. The record is from RNAcentral.